GUGCAAGCUGAUUGGUGGAUUUUGAGGGCUGGGCGGAAACGGAAAAGACUAAGGGCCAAUGGGCAGAAAGCGCCGGCGGCGAACCCGGUUGUUUGGGAAGGCGAGCAGCUGGAGGAGGCGGAGCUUGCGGGGGUAGGGAGGCUGAGGCAGUGGGAGCGCUAGGCCUGGGUGCUCAUCUCUCCCCCCACCCUCCCCGGAUUCUGUGCGCAGGCGCUGUGGCCCGGCCUCGGGAGAGGAGCUGUGAGCAACGCGCGUGCGCGUCUCAGUUUUCUUAGUUUGGGCUUUUUUACAGCCCGGCUUUCUGAUGUCUUCCAUUAUUUUCACCCCCUACGCUUUAUAAUCUGUUGCGAUGCGGCCGAGGUACUCUGCUUGAACCUCCGCUGCACCUUGUCACAUAUAGGUUCCCUUUAGUUACGUGAGCUUUGAGAUGACGUUACACUUCAGGGAACUCAAGCACACAAGCUUUCUAAGGCUCAAGGAGAGAGGUCUGGCUACCAAAUGCUAAUUUAAUUCUCAGGUCGACAAUGGUUAAUGCCUGCAGUACUGCUGCUAGGCAAAGGACAUAGAAAAUGCGAAAUGGAGAGGGCCAAGAAAAGCAACAGGAGAUGCAGGAGGACAACAAGUAACGAUGGAAAACUCACAGCAGAUGCCCUCAAGAACUUUUGUAGUGACCACGGUGUUAAUAAGCAGCCUGCCCUGACCUUAUUCGCCUCAGCACUCUGAGCUUUUAUGGUCGGCUCAGGUGGAACACUGCUCUCCGGAGAGAGGUAGACUGCAUUGGCUCCUGAAGUGGCACCGAGACUGCUGGAGUGUCAGAGAUUCAAUAGACUGAGAGCCCCUAAUGAAUUGUGUAGGAUUGUGGACCACUUCCCCAUUGCAGGUGUUGGUUACGUGACAGUCUACGGAAAUGAUUGCAAUGGGAACAUUUUGAUGAUUUUCUAACGAAUAAAGCUUGCGUUAUGUAACUUUUA
Non-coding RNA from Macaca mulatta (Rhesus monkey), 971 nucleotides. The record is from RefSeq and is a predicted model, not a curated record. NCBI's taxonomy places the organism in Eukaryota, Metazoa, Chordata, Mammalia, Primates, Cercopithecidae.